This 450-nucleotide ribosomal RNA is filed under the name uncultured bacterium. RNAcentral's name for it is "partial 16S ribosomal RNA". It matches the Rfam family "Bacterial small subunit ribosomal RNA", at positions 354 to 796 of the family's 1533-position model. The record is from RNAcentral.
GUGGGGAAUUUUGGACAAUGGGCGCAAGCCUGAUCCAGCAAUGCCGCGUGUGUGAAGAAGGCCUUCGGGUUGUAAAGCACUUUUGGCAGGAAAGAAAUAGCGCGUGCUAAUACCAUGCGCGAAUGACGGUACCUGCAGAAUAAGUACCGGCUAACUACGUGCCAGCAGCCGCGGUAAGACGUAGGGUGCAAGCGUUAAUCGGAAUUACUGGGCGUAAAGCGUGCGCAGGCGGUUUUGUAAGACAGGUGUGAAAUCCCCGGGCUCAACCUGGGGACUGCACUUGUGACUGCAAGGCUAGAGUGUGUCAGAGGGAGGUGGAAUUCCGCGUGUAGCAGUGAAAUGCGUAGAGAUGCGGAGGAACACCGAUGGCGAAGGCAGCCUCCUGGGAUAACACUGACGCUCAGGCACGAAAGCGUGGGGAGCAAACAGGAUUAGAUACCCUAGUAGUCC